RNAcentral lists this ribosomal RNA (448 nucleotides) under uncultured bacterium. Its description in RNAcentral is "bacterial SSU rRNA". It matches the Rfam family "Bacterial small subunit ribosomal RNA", at positions 330 to 793 of the family's 1533-position model. The record is from RNAcentral.
CCCAGACUCCUACGGGAGGCAGCAGUGGGGAAUAUUGCACAAUGGGGGAAACCCUGAUGCAGCGACGCCGCGUGAGUGAGGAAGUAUUUCGGUAUGUAAAGCUCUAUCAGCAGGGAAGAAAAAAUGACGGUACCUGACUAAGAAGCACCGGCUAAAUACGUGCCAGCAGCCGCGGUAAUACGUAUGGUGCAAGCGUUAUCCGGAUUUACUGGGUGUAAAGGGAGCGCAGGCGGUACGGCAAGUCUGAUGUGAAAGCCCGGGGCUCAACCCCGGUACUGCAUUGGAAACUACCGGACUGGAGUGUCGGAGGGGUAAGUGGAAUUCCUAGUGUAGCGGUGAAAUGCGUAGAUAUUAGGAGGAACACCAGUGGCGAAGGCGGCUUACUGGACGAUCACUGACGCUGAGGCUCGAAAGCGUGGGGAGCAAACAGGAUUAGAUACCCUUGUAU